This 712-nucleotide ribosomal RNA is filed under the name uncultured archaeon. Its description in RNAcentral is "bacterial SSU rRNA". It matches the Rfam family "Archaeal small subunit ribosomal RNA", at positions 102 to 817 of the family's 1478-position model. The record is from RNAcentral.
GGAUAAUCUGCCCUCAGGUGAGGAAAUAAUCCCGGGAAAACUGGGGCUAAUGCCUCAUAGGAGACGGGUGCUGGAAUGCUCUGUCUCCGAAAGGUCCGCCGCCUGAGGAUGAGUCUGCGUCCGAUUAGGUUGUUGUUGGGGUAACGGCCCAACAAGCCUUUGAUCGGUACGGGUUGUGGGAGCAAGAGCCCGGAGAUGGAUUCUGAGACAUGAAUCCAGGCCCUACGGGGCGCAGCAGGCGCGAAAACUUUACAAUGCGAGCAAUCGUGAUAAGGAAACCCUGAGUGCCUGUCAAUGCAGGCUGUUCUGGUGUCUAACACACACCAGGAGAAAGGGCGAGGCAAGACCGGUGCCAGCCGCCGCGGUAAUACCGGCUGCUCGAGUGAUAGCCACUUUUACUGGGCUUAAAGCGUUCGUAGCUUGGUCGUUAAGUCUCUGGGGAAAUCUUUUGGCUCAACCAAAAGGCGUCUCAGGGAAACUGACGAUCUUGGAACCGGGAGAGGUAAGACGUACUUCGGGGGUAGGAGUGAAAUCUUGUAAUCCCCGAGGGACGACCGAUGGCGAAGGCAUCUUACCAGAACGGCUUCGACAGUGAGGGACGAAAGCUGGGGGAGCAAACCGGAUUAGAUACCCGGGUAGUCCCAGCCGUAAACGAUGUGCGUUAGGUGUGUCAGUGACCACGAGUCGCUGAGGUGCCGAAGGGAAACCGUGA